RNAcentral lists this ribosomal RNA (490 nucleotides) under uncultured bacterium. RNAcentral's name for it is "partial 16S ribosomal RNA". It matches the Rfam family "Bacterial small subunit ribosomal RNA", at positions 29 to 507 of the family's 1533-position model. The record is from RNAcentral.
AUUGAACGCUGGCGGCAGGCCUAACACAUGCAAGUCGAACGGUAACAGGAAGAAGCUGGCUUCUUUGCUGACGAGGGGCGGGCGGGAGCGCAGUGUCUGGGAAACUACCGGAUGGAGGGGGAUGACUACUGGAAAGGGUAGCUAAUACCGAAUAACCUCGCAAGAGCAAAGAGAGGGACCUACGGGCCCCUCGCCAGCGCCAUAGCCCAGAUGGGAAGAGCUAGUAGGUGGGGUAACGGCUCACCUAGGCGACGAACCCUAGCUGGUCUGAGAGGAUGACCAGCCACACUGGAACUGGGCCACGGUCCAGACUCCUACGGGAGGCAGCAGUCGGGAAUAUUGCCCCGUGGGCGCAAGCUCGCUGCAGCCCUGCCGCGUGUAUGAAGAAGGCCCUCGGGUUGUAAAGUACUCUCAGCGGGGAGGAAGGUAGUUCUGUUAAUACCUUCCCUCAUUGCCGUUCCCCGCAGAAGAAGCACCGGCUACCUCCGUG